UACGGGGGGGGCAAGCGUUAUUCGGAAUUAUUGGGCGUAAAGGGCGCGUAGGCGGCCGCGUAAGUCAAAGGUGAAAUCCCUCAGCUCAACUGAGGAACUGCCUUUGAUACUGCAUGGCUUGAGGCCGGGAGGGGGUAGCGGAAUUCCCAGUGUAGCGGUGAAAUGCGUAGAUAUUGGGAGGAACACCAGUGGCGAAGGCGGCUACCUGGACCGGUGCUGACGCUGAUGCGCGAAAGCGUGGGGAGCAAACAGG
This 253-nucleotide ribosomal RNA is filed under the name uncultured bacterium. RNAcentral's name for it is "partial 16S ribosomal RNA". It matches the Rfam family "Bacterial small subunit ribosomal RNA", at positions 524 to 776 of the family's 1533-position model. The record is from RNAcentral.